GGGGAUUUAGCUCAGCGGCAUAAGCGCCUGCCUUGCAAGCAGGCAGUCAUAGUUCAAUCCCUG
Molecule: transfer RNA, 63 nt
Filed under: Cavia porcellus (domestic guinea pig)
Lineage: Eukaryota; Metazoa; Chordata; Mammalia; Rodentia; Caviidae
Rfam family: tRNA
About the family: Transfer RNA (tRNA) molecules are approximately 80 nucleotides in length. Their secondary structure includes four short double-helical elements and three loops (D, anti-codon, and T loops). Further hydrogen bonds mediate the characteristic L-shaped molecular structure. tRNAs have two regions of fundamental functional importance: the anti-codon, which is responsible for specific mRNA codon recognition, and the 3' end, to which the tRNAs corresponding amino acid is attached (by aminoacyl-tRNA synthetases). tRNAs cope with the degeneracy of the genetic code in two manners: having more than one tRNA (with a specific anti-codon) for a particular amino acid; and 'wobble' base-pairing, i.e. permitting non-standard base-pairing at the 3rd anti-codon position.
Source: Rfam by way of RNAcentral